GCUUGCUUCAGCAGCCCAAAUGCUAAAAUUGGACUGACACAUAGAAGAUUAGCAUGGUCUCUGCACAAUGGUGACAUGCAAAUUCGUGAAGCAUUAUAUUUAUUU
This is a small nuclear RNA of Artibeus jamaicensis (Jamaican fruit-eating bat), 105 nucleotides long. NCBI's taxonomy places the organism in Eukaryota, Metazoa, Chordata, Mammalia, Chiroptera, Phyllostomidae. The record is from RefSeq and is a predicted model, not a curated record.